This 30-nucleotide non-coding RNA is filed under the name Mus musculus (house mouse). Lineage: Eukaryota; Metazoa; Chordata; Mammalia; Rodentia; Muridae. The record is from RNAcentral.
UGGCCACUGUUACCUUAACCCUCAGGCUUC